GGCUGAAAUUCGCCUUCAUGAAGUCGGAAUUGCUAGUAAUGGCAGGUCAGCAUACUACCGUGAAUACGUUCCCGGGCCUUGUACACACCGCCCGUCACACCAUGAGAGUUGGAGAUACCCGAAGCCUAUGAGCUAACUUUUAGAGGCAGUAGUCGAAGGUAGAAUCAAUGAUUGGGGUGAAGUCGUAACAAGGUAGC
This 197-nucleotide ribosomal RNA is filed under the name uncultured bacterium. RNAcentral describes it as "partial 16S ribosomal RNA". It matches the Rfam family "Bacterial small subunit ribosomal RNA", at positions 1303 to 1500 of the family's 1533-position model. The record is from RNAcentral.